CAGGAUUGCAGUCAAGUAUGACCUCUUCCAUUUCGACAUUUUCUAACUGAGCUACAUCAUAUAAUGCCACAAGGAAAUGUUGUUUUGAAAGACAAAGGAGAGCACUGUGCUGUGAUAUGUUGCUGCGCCAUAACUGGGAGAGGCUCGUUCACUCGGUGAGAGAGCCUCGUUCCAAGGACAUUUCUCGGUGAUACAACAGGAAAUCUUGACACAUACCGACAUGGGGGGAUUUUACUCGAAUGUAUGUAUGUCUAAUAAUAAGUAAAAUAGAAAAAAAA
Sander lucioperca (pikeperch) is the source of this 278-nucleotide long non-coding RNA. RefSeq lists it as uncharacterized. The record is from RefSeq and is a predicted model, not a curated record. The transcript is spliced from 2 exons. NCBI's taxonomy places the organism in Eukaryota, Metazoa, Chordata, Actinopteri, Perciformes, Percidae.